RNAcentral lists this unclassified non-coding RNA (1649 nucleotides) under Hevea brasiliensis (rubber tree). Lineage: Eukaryota; Viridiplantae; Streptophyta; Magnoliopsida; Malpighiales; Euphorbiaceae. The record is from RNAcentral.
UUGUUUCUAAUUUGAGUCGAGAUGUCGUCUUCAAGACCUAGCCAAUCUUCCACCACUUCAUCAAGAUCAAAGCACAGUGCUAGGAUCGUUGCACAGACCUCUAUAGAUGCAAAGCUGCAUGCAGACUUUGAGGAGUCAGGUGAUUCCUUUGACUAUUCAAGCUCAGUGAGGGUUACAAGUGUCGCUGGAGAUGAGGAAAAACCAAAGUCAGACAAAGUUACCACCGCCUACCUUCAUCAGAUCCAAAAGGGCAAGUUUAUCCAGCCAUUUGGUUGUCUGUUAGCCCUGGAUGAGAAAACAUUAAAGGUCAUAGCAUUCAGUGAGAAUGCCCCUGAAAUGCUGACCAUGGUUAGCCAUGCUGUUCCAAGUGUUGGUGAGCAUCCAGUUCUUGGCAUCGGGACUGAUAUCAGAACGAUCUUCACUGGUCCUAGUGGCGCAGCAUUGCAGAAAGCCUUGGGGUUUGGGGAGGUUUCUCUGUUAAAUCCUGUCCUUGUUCACUGUAAAAAUUCUGGAAAGCCAUUUUAUGCAAUUGUUCAUAGGGUUACAGGUAGCUUAAUCCUUGAUUUUGAGCCUGUGAAGCCCUAUGAAGUACCCAUGACUGCUGCAGGGGCCCUGCAGUCAUAUAAACUAGCAGCCAAAGCCAUUACUCGCUUGCAGUCCUUGCCCAGUGGCAGUAUGGAAAGACUCUGUGACACAAUGGUUCAGGAGGUUUUUGAACUCACAGGUUAUGACAGGGUGAUGGGAUAUAAGUUUCACGAGGAUGAUCAUGGAGAGGUGGUGUCUGAGAUCACAAAGCCUGGCCUCGAGCCUUACCUUGGUUUACAUUAUCCUGCUACAGAUAUUCCACAGGCUGCACGGUUUUUGUUUAUGAAGAAUAAGGUCCGAAUGAUUUGUGAUUGCCGAGCAAAGCAUGUGAAGGUAGUCCAAGAUGAGAAGCUUCCAUUUGAUUUAACAUUGUGCGGCUCUACUCUUAGGGCCCCUCACUACUGCCAUUUACAGUAUAUGGAGAACAUGAAUUCAAUUGCAUCACUUGUAAUGGCAGUUGUGGUCAAUGACGGGGAUGAAGAAGGAGAAAGCUCUGAUUCUUCACAAUCUCAAAAAAGAAAAAGGCUAUGGGGCCUGGUUGUUUGCCACAACACGACCCCAAGGUUCGUUCCCUUUCCACUGAGGUAUGCAUGUGAGUUUCUUGCACAAGUCUUUGCCAUACACGUCAACAAGGAACUGGAAUUGGAAAAUCAAUUCCUUGAGAAAAAUAUUCUGCGUACUCAGACUCUCUUGUGUGAUAUGCUGAUGCGAGAUGCUCCCCUAGGUAUCGUGUCACAGAGCCCCAACAUUAUGGAUCUUGUCAAAUGUGAUGGUGCGGCUUUGCUCUAUAAGAAUAAGAUACAUCGAUUAGGAAUGAACCCAAGUGACUUUCAGCUGCAGGAUAUAGUAUCAUGGCUUUGUGAGUAUCAUACAGAUUCCACAGGCUUGAGUACGGAUAGCUUGUAUGAUGCUGGUUUUCCUGGGGCUCUUGCUCUUGGUGAUGCAGUCUGUGGUAUGGCAGCUGUGAGAAUAUCUGAUAAGGACUGGCUGUUCUGGUUCAGGUCACACACUGCUGCUGAAGUUAGAUGGGGUGGUGCAAAGCAUGAACCUGGUGAGAAGGAUGA